RNAcentral lists this small nuclear RNA (103 nucleotides) under Chinchilla lanigera (long-tailed chinchilla). The record is from RNAcentral. Lineage: Eukaryota; Metazoa; Chordata; Mammalia; Rodentia; Chinchillidae.
GUGCUUGCUUUAGCAGCUCACGUACUAUAACUGAAAUGAUACAGACAAGACUAGCAUGGGCCUGCAUAAGGACACCCAAAUUUGUGAAGUAGUCUGUAUUUUU